Molecule: unclassified non-coding RNA, 240 nt
Filed under: Hevea brasiliensis (rubber tree)
Lineage: Eukaryota; Viridiplantae; Streptophyta; Magnoliopsida; Malpighiales; Euphorbiaceae
Source: RNAcentral
UAACUUGAUGUCUUCCAACAUAGUUCAGACCUUGGGUACCAUGCUCGACACGGUUGUUUUCUAGAGUAUACUUUUUAUUUUUCUCUGUAUUCUCUCUGGAUUCCUUUUUUGGAUACAAGUAGAACGAUAUUGGAUUUAUAUUUUAAAUUGCAUUUAUUUCUGUUCUUUUUUUUGAUCUCGUACUGAUUAUAUAGGCAUCAUCUAUGUUUAAUUUGGUUCUUCUAAUAUUUUGUUUCCACG